ACGUGGUUGACCUACCCCAAAGUAAGGGAUAACGGUCCGAAAGGACUGCUAAUACCUUAUAAGCUCCCGGUGUUUAGAAAACUGGGAGAAAAGUUCCGGCGCUUUGGGCGGGGACUGCGGACCAUCAGCUAGUUGGUGUGGUAACGGCACACCAAGGCGACGACGGAUAGGGGACCUGAGAGGGUGGCCCCCCGCACUGGAACUGAGACACGGUCCAGACUCCUACGGGAGGCAGCAGUGAGGAAUAUUGCACAAUGGGCGCAAGCCUGAUGCAGCGACGCCGCGUGGGUGAUGAAGGUUUUCGGAUCGUAAAGCCCUUUUCUAGAUGACGAGUAAGGACGGUAGUCUAGGAAUAAGUGUCGGCUAACUACGUGCCAGCAGCCGCGGUAAANCGUANGACACAAGCGUUAUCCGGAGUUACUGGGCGUAAAGGGCGUGUAGGCGGACCUGUAAGUCUAUUCUGAAGCNUCUGGCUAACUGGGAGAGCGAAUGGAAGACUGCAGAUCUAGAGUGAGGAAGAGGAAAGUGGAAUUCCGCGUGUAGUGGUGAAAUGCGUAGAGAUGCGGAGGAACACCAGUGGCGAAAGUGACUUUCUGGUCCUUAACUGACGCUGAGGCGCGAAAGCAUGGGGAGCGAACGGGAUUAGAAACCCCGGUAGUCCAUGCCAUAAACGAUGUUCACUAAACGUUCGUUUCCCGCGAGGGAAGCGGGUGUUGAAGCCAACGCAGUAAGUGAACCGCCUGGGGAGUACGGUCGCAAGGCUAAAACUCAAAGGAAUUGACGGGGGACCGCACAAGCAGCGGAGCGUGUGGUUUAAUUCGAGGCUACACGAAUAACCUU
This 840-nucleotide ribosomal RNA is filed under the name uncultured Anaerolinea sp. RNAcentral describes it as "bacterial SSU rRNA". It matches the Rfam family "Bacterial small subunit ribosomal RNA", at positions 115 to 972 of the family's 1533-position model. The record is from RNAcentral. Lineage: Bacteria; Bacillati; Chloroflexota; Anaerolineae; Anaerolineales; Anaerolineaceae.